UACGUAGGGACCGAGCGUUGUCCGGAUUCAUUGGGCGUAAAGAGCUCGUAGGCGGCUGUUCAAGUCGAACGUGAAAACUCGGAGCUCAACUCCGAGCCUGCAUUCGAUACUGACGGGCUAGAGUACUGGAGGGGAAAGCGGAAUUCCUGGUGUAGCGGUGAAAUGCGCAGAUAUCAGGAAGAACACCCGUGGCGAAGGCGGCUCUCUGGAACGCAACUGACGCUGAGGAGCGAAAGCGUGGGGAGCGAACAGG
RNAcentral lists this ribosomal RNA (253 nucleotides) under uncultured bacterium. RNAcentral describes it as "partial 16S ribosomal RNA". It matches the Rfam family "Bacterial small subunit ribosomal RNA", at positions 524 to 776 of the family's 1533-position model. The record is from RNAcentral.